UCGGAGCGAAGAUCUGGGUCACCUCCCACCCGUGUUUAUUUUACCUUGUUGCUUCGGCGGGCCCGCCUUAACUGGCCGCCGGGGGGCUUACGCCCCCGGGCCCGCGCCCGCCGAAGACACCCUCGAACUCUGUCUGAAGAUUGAAGUCUGAGUGAAAAUAUAAAUUAUUUAAAACUUUCAACAACGGAUCUCUUGGUUCCGGCAUCGAUGAAGAACGCAGCGAAAUGCGAUACGUAAUGUGAAUUGCAAAUUCAGUGAAUCAUCGAGUCUUUGAACGCACAUUGCGCCCCCUGGUAUUCCGGGGGGCAUGCCUGUCCGAGCGUCAUUGCUGCCCUCAAGCCCGGCUUGUGUGUUGGGCCCCGUCCCCCGAUCUCCGGGGGACGGGCCCGAAAGGCAGCGGCGGCACCGCGUCCGGUCCUCGAGCGUAUGGGGCUUUGUCACCCGCUCUGUAGGCCCGGCCGGCGCUUGCCGAUCAACCCAAAUUUUUAUCCAGGUUGACCUCGGAUCAGGUAGGGAUACCCGCUGAACUUAA
This 532-nucleotide ribosomal RNA is filed under the name Penicillium sp. PX-2011a. Its description in RNAcentral is "eukaryotic LSU rRNA". The stretch from base 173 to 325 matches the Rfam family "5.8S ribosomal RNA". The record is from RNAcentral. Lineage: Eukaryota; Fungi; Ascomycota; Eurotiomycetes; Eurotiales; Aspergillaceae.